Molecule: ribosomal RNA, 253 nt
Filed under: uncultured bacterium
Lineage: Bacteria
Description: partial 16S ribosomal RNA
Rfam family: Bacterial small subunit ribosomal RNA
Source: RNAcentral
UACAUAGGUCUCAAGCGUUGUUCGGAUUCAUUGGGCGUAAAGGGUGUGUAGGUGGCGCGCUAAGUCGGGUGUGAAAUUUCGGAGCUUAACUCCGAAACUGCAUUCGAUACUGGCGUGCUUGAGGACUGGAGAGGAGACUGGAAUUCAUGGUGUAGCAGUGAAAUGCGUAGAGAUCAUGAGGAAGACCAGUGGCGAAGGCAGGUCUCUGGACAGUUCCUGACACUGAGACACGAAGGCCAGGGGAGCAAACGGG